GACGAACGCUGGCGGCGUGCUUAACGCAUGCAAGUCGAACGGAAAGGCCCUGCUUUUGUGGGGUGCUCGAGUGGCGAACGGGUGAGUAACACGUGAGUAACCUGCCCUUGACUUUGGGAUAACUUCAGGAAACUGGGGCUAAUACCGGAUAGGAGCUCCUGCUGCAUGGUGGGGGUUGGAAAGUUUCGGCGGUUGGGGAUGGACUCGCAGCUUAUCAGCUUGUUGGUGGGGUAGUGGCUUACCAAGGCUUUGACGGGUAGCCGGCCUGAGAGGGUGACCGGCCACAUUGGGACUGAGAUACGGCCCAGACUCCUACGGGAGGCAGCAGUGGGGAAUAUUGCACAAUGGGCGGAAGCCUGAUGCAGCAACGCCGCGUGCGGGAUGACGGCCUUCGGGUUGUAAACCGCUUUCGCCUGUGACGAAGCGUGAGUGACGGUAAUGGGUAAAGAAGCACCGGCUAACUACGUG
This 468-nucleotide ribosomal RNA is filed under the name uncultured bacterium. RNAcentral's name for it is "partial 16S ribosomal RNA". It matches the Rfam family "Bacterial small subunit ribosomal RNA", at positions 28 to 507 of the family's 1533-position model. The record is from RNAcentral.